GACGAAAGUCUGACCGAGCAACGCCGCGUGAGUGAAGAAGGUUUUCGGAUCGUAAAACUCUGUUGUUAGAGAAGAACAAGGAUGAGAGUAACUGUUCAUCCCUUGACGGUAUCUAACCAGAAAGCCACGGCUAACUACGUGCCAGCAGCCGCGGUAAUACGUAGGUGGCAAGCGUUGUCCGGAUUUAUUGGGCGUAAAGCGAGCGCAGGCGGUUUCUUAAGUCUGAUGUGAAAGCCCCCGGCUCAACCGGGGAGGGUCAUUGGAAACUGGGAGACUUGAGUGCAGAAGAGGAGAGUGGAAUUCCAUGUGUAGCGGUGAAAUGCGUAGAUAUAUGGAGGAACACCAGUGGCGAAGGCGGCUCUCUGGUCUGUAACUGACGCUGAGGCUCGAAAGCGUGGGGAGCAAACAGGAUUAGAUACCCUGGUAGUCCACGCCGUAAACGAUGAGUGCUAAGUGUUGGAGGGUUUCCGCCCUUCAGUGCUGCAGCUAACGCAUUAAGCACUCCGCCUGGGGAGUACGACCGCAAGGUUGAAACUCA
Molecule: ribosomal RNA, 538 nt
Filed under: bacterium T-1-0-6D
Lineage: Bacteria
Description: bacterial SSU rRNA
Rfam family: Bacterial small subunit ribosomal RNA
Source: RNAcentral